GACGAACGCUGGCGGCGUGCUUAACACAUGCAAGUCGAACGAAGUGGCGAACGGGUGAGUAACGCGUAAUUAACCUGCCCUUCAGAGGGGGACAACAGUUGGAAACGACUGCUAAUCCCGCAUACUGAAGGAGGGGAUUGCGUCUGAUUAGCUAGUUGGAGGGGUAACGGCCCACCAAGGCGAUGAUCAGUAGACGGUCCGAGAGGAUGAACGGCCACAUUGGGACUGGGACACGGCCCAGACUCCUACGGGAUGGAGCAAGGGGGAAUCUUCCGCAAUGGACGAAAGGCUGACGGAGCAACGCAGCGGGAGUGAUGACGGCCUUCGGGUUGGAAAGCUCUGUUAAUCGGGACGCGGUACCGGAAUAGAAAGCCACGGCUAACUACGUGCCAGCAGCCGCGGUAAUUC
This 408-nucleotide ribosomal RNA is filed under the name uncultured bacterium. RNAcentral's name for it is "partial 16S ribosomal RNA". It matches the Rfam family "Bacterial small subunit ribosomal RNA", at positions 28 to 526 of the family's 1533-position model. The record is from RNAcentral.